CCUACGGGCGGCAGCAGUGAGGAAUAUUGGUCAAUGGGCGAGAGCCUGAACCAGCCAAGUCGCGUGAAGGAUGACGGAUCUAUGGUUUGUAAACCUCUUUUAUAUGGGAAUAAAGUGAGGAACGUGUUCCUUAUUGUAUGUACCAUAUGAAUAAGCAUCGGCUAACUCCGUGCCAGCAGCCGCGGUAAUACGGAGGAUGCGAGCGUUAUCCGGAUUUAUUGGGUUUAAAGGGUGAGGAGGUGGUUAAUUAAGUCAGCGGUUAAAGUUUGGGGCUCAACCUUAAAAUUGCCGUGGAAACUGGUUGACUUGAGUGUAUGAGAGGUAGGCGGAAUGCGUGGUGUAGCGGUGAAAUGCAUAGAUAUCACGCAGAACUCCGAUUGCGAAGGCAGCUUAC
Molecule: ribosomal RNA, 394 nt
Filed under: uncultured bacterium
Lineage: Bacteria
Description: partial 16S ribosomal RNA
Rfam family: Bacterial small subunit ribosomal RNA
Source: RNAcentral